AUUGAACGCUGGCGGCAUGCCUUACACAUGCAAGUCGAACGGCAGCACGGGAGCAAUCCUGGUGGCGAGUGGCGAACGGGUGAGUAAUGUAUCGGAACGUGCCCAGUCGUGGGGGAUAACGUAGCGAAAGCUACGCUAAUACCGCAUACGAUCUAUGGAUGAAAGCGGGGGAUCGCAAGACCUCGCGCGAUUGGAGCGGCCGAUAUCAGAUUAGGUAGUUGGUGGGGUAAAGGCUCACCAAGCCGACGAUCUGUAGCUGGUCUGAGAGGACGACACGCCACACUGGGACUGAGACACGGCACAGACUCCUACGGGAGGCAGCAGUGGGGAAUUUUGGACAAUGGGCGCAAGCCUGAUCCAGCAAUGCCGCGUGCAGGAUGAAGGCCUUCGGGUUGUAAACUGCUUUUGUACGGAACGAAACGGCGAGCUCUAAUACAGUUUGCUAAUGACGGUACCGUAAGAAUAAGCACCGGCUAACUACGUGCCAGCCGCCGCCGUAA
This 500-nucleotide ribosomal RNA is filed under the name uncultured bacterium. RNAcentral describes it as "partial 16S ribosomal RNA". It matches the Rfam family "Bacterial small subunit ribosomal RNA", at positions 30 to 523 of the family's 1533-position model. The record is from RNAcentral.